GCGUUGUAAUUUGUAGAGGAUGAUUCGGCGAGGGCUCCCGCCUAAGUCCCCUGGAACGGGGCGUCAUAGAGGGUGAGAAUCCCGUAUGCGGUGGGCUGCCUUAGCCAUGUGAAUCUCCUUCGACGAGUCGAGUUGUUUGGGAAUGCAGCUCUAAAUGGGAGGUAAAUUUCUUCUAAAGCUAAAUACCGGCCAGAGACCGAUAGCGCACAAGUAGAGUGAUCGAAAGAUGAAAAGCACUUUGGAAAGAGAGUUAAAAAGUACGUGAAAUUGUUGAAAGGGAAGCGCUUGCAGCCAGACUUGUCCGCAGUUGCUCAGCCGGUCUCCUGACCGGCGCACUCUUCUGCGGCCAGGCCAGCAUCAGUUCGGGCGGUCGGAUAAAGGCCCCGGGAACGUAGCUCCUCUCGGGGAGUGUUAUAGCCCCGGGGUGGAAUGCGGCCAGCCUGGACUGAGGAUCUCGCUUCGGCUAGGAUGCUGGCGUAAUGGCUGUAAGCGGCCCGUCUUGAAACACGGACCAAGGAGUCUAACAUCUAUGCGAGUGUUUGGGUGUCAAACCCAUGCGCGUAAUGAAAGUGAACGGAGGUGGGAACCCUCGCGGGUGCACCAUCGACCGAUCCUGAUGUCUUCGGAUGGAUUUGAGUAAGAGCAUAGCUGUUGGGACCCGAAAGAUGGUGAACUAUGCCUGAAUAGGGUGAAGCCAGAGGAAACUCUGGUGGAGGCUCGCAGCGGUUCUGACGUGCAAAUCGAUCGUCAAAUUUGGGUAUAGGGGCGAAAGACUAAUCGAACCAUCGACUACUAGGUGGUUAAGAGGUGGCUGAAAGUGCCCACCUAGUCCCCCCGUCCGAGGACGGGGGGGCGACAUCGCCAAAUUGCGGGGACUCCCUUAGAGCCUCUACUACCGCGGCCGGCCGAAAGGCGCGGUGCAGCACCGGGUUAAUUGCCUAGGGUACGGUAAAAAGGUAGAGGAUUGGGAAAUCCGCAGCCAAGCGCCUAAGUCCCGCGGGAUACGGCGAAGGUUCAGAGACUAGAUGGCGGUGGGU
This 1037-nucleotide small RNA is filed under the name Neoscytalidium hyalinum. RNAcentral's name for it is "eukaryotic LSU rRNA". It matches the Rfam family "Eukaryotic large subunit ribosomal RNA", at positions 140 to 1043 of the family's 3401-position model. The record is from RNAcentral. Lineage: Eukaryota; Fungi; Ascomycota; Dothideomycetes; Botryosphaeriales; Botryosphaeriaceae.